CUCCCUACGGGAGGCAGCAGUGAGGAAUAUUGGUCAAUGGCCGGAAGGCUGAACCAGCCAAGCCGCGUGAGGGAGGAAGGCGCAGAGCGUCGCAGACCUCUUUUGCCGGGGGACAAAAGGCCGGACUCGUCCGGUCCUGAGGGUACCCGGAGAAAAAGCAUCGGCUAACUCCGUGCCAGCAGCCGCGGUAAUACGGAGGAUGCGAGCGUUAUCCGGAUUCAUUGGGUUUAAAGGGUGCGUAGGCGGUCCGUUAAGUCAGCGGUAAAAUUGCGGGGCUCAACCCUGUCGAGCCGUUGAAACUGGCA
Molecule: ribosomal RNA, 305 nt
Filed under: uncultured bacterium
Lineage: Bacteria
Description: bacterial SSU rRNA
Rfam family: Bacterial small subunit ribosomal RNA
Source: RNAcentral